AGCAGCCGCCACGGUAAUACGAAGGGUGCAAGCGUUGCUCGGAAUUAUUGGGCGUAAAGGGUAGGUAGGUUGUCUUGUUUGUCUAAGGUGAAAUCCCGUGGCUUAACCGUGGAAGUGCCUUAGAAACGGCAAGACUAGAGUCCUAGAGGGGUUUGUGGAAUUCCCGGUGUAGCGGUGAAAUGCGUAGAGAUCGGAAGGAACAUCUGUGGCGAAGGCGACUAUCUGGGCCAACACUGACACUGAGGCACGAAAGCGUGGGGAGCAAACAGGAUUAGAUACCCCGGUAGUCCCUGUCUCUUAUAC
This 303-nucleotide ribosomal RNA is filed under the name uncultured bacterium. RNAcentral's name for it is "partial 16S ribosomal RNA". It matches the Rfam family "Bacterial small subunit ribosomal RNA", at positions 507 to 807 of the family's 1533-position model. The record is from RNAcentral.